AGAGUUUGAUCCUGGCUCAGGAUGAACGCUAGCGGGAGGCUUAACACAUGCAAGUCGAACGGUAACAGUUCCUUCGGGAAGCUGACGAGUGGCGCACGGGUGCGUAACGCGUAUGCAACCUGCCUUAAGCAGGGGGAUAGCCCAUGGAAACGUGGAUUAAUACCCCAUAAUAUAUAUGAAUCACCUGGUUUAUAUAUUAAAACUUCGGUGGCUUAAGAUGGGCAUGCGUAUGAUUAGCUAGUUGGUGAGGUAAUAGCUCACCAAGGCGACGAUCAUUAGGGGUUCUGAGAGGAUUAUCCCCCACACUGGUACUGAGACACGGACCAGACUCCUACGGGAGGCAGCAGUGAGGAAUAUUGGUCAAUGGGCGAGAGCCUGAACCAGCCAUCCCGCGUGCAGGAUGACGGCCCUAUGGGUUGUAAACUGCUUUUCUAUACCAAGAAAGGUUGCUACGUGUAGCAAAUUGACGGUAGUAUAGGAAUAAGCAUCGGCUAACUCCGUGCCAGCAGCCGCGGUAAUACGGAGGAUGCAAGCGUUAUCCGGAUUCAUUGGGUUUAAAGGGUGCGCAGGUGGGAAAGUAAGUCAGUGGUGAAAUCUUGCCGCUUAACGGUAAAACUGCCAUUGAUACUGCUUUUCUUGAGUAUGGUUGAGGUAGGCGGAAUGUGUUGUGUAGCGGUGAAAUGCAUAGAUAUGACACAGAACGCCGAUUGCGAAGGCAGCUUACUAAGCCAUUACUGACACUGAGGCACGAAAGCGUGGGGAGCGAACAGGAUUAGAUACCCUGGUAGUCCACGCUGUAAACGAUGAUCACUCGCUGUUUGCGAUACACCGUAAGCGGCUGAGCGAAAGCAUUAAGUGAUCCACCUGGGGAGUACGAUCGCAAGGUUGAAACUCAAAGGAAUUGACGGGGGCCCGCACAAGCGGAGGAACAUGUGGUUUAAUUCGAUGAUACGCGAGGAACCUUACCUGGGCUUAAAUGUAUACUGCAUAAAGUGGAAACACUUUUUCCCUUCGGGGCUGUUUACAAGGUGCUGCAUGGUUGUCGUCAGCUCGUGCCGUGAGGUGUCGGGUUAAGUCCCAUAACGAGCGCAACCCUUACCGUUAGUUGCCAUCAGGUCAAGCUGGGGACUCUAGCGGGACUGCCACCGUAAGGUGAGAGGAAGGUGGGGAUGACGUCAAAUCAGCACGGCCCUUAUGUCCAGGGCUACACACGUGUUACAAUGGUCGGUACAAAGGGCAGCUACCUGGCAACAGGAUGCUAAUCCCAAAAGCCGAUCCCAGUUCGGAUUGGAGUCUGCAACCCGACUCCAUGAAGUUGGAUUCGCUAGUAAUCGCGCAUCAGCCAUGGCGCGGUGAAUACGUUCCCGGGCCUUGUACACACCGCCCGUCAAACCAUGGGAGCUGGGGGUGCCUGAAGUCUGUUACCGAAAGGAGCGGCCUAGGGUAAAACUAGUAACUGGGGUUAAGUCGGAACAAGGUA
RNAcentral lists this ribosomal RNA (1480 nucleotides) under metagenome. RNAcentral describes it as "bacterial SSU rRNA". It matches the Rfam family "Bacterial small subunit ribosomal RNA". The record is from RNAcentral.